UACGGAGGGUGCUAGCGUUGUUCGGAAUUACUGGGCGUAAAGCGCGUGUAGGCGGGAUGGCAAGUCGGGUGUGAAAGCCCUCAGCUUAACUGAGGAAGUGCGCCCGAAACUACUGUUCUUGAGUGCCGGAGAGGGUGGCGGAAUUCCCGGUGUAGAGGUGAAAUUCGUAGAUAUCGGGAGGAACACCAGUGGCGAAGGCGGCCACCUGGACGGACACUGACGCUGAGACGCGAAAGCGUGGGGAGCAAACAGG
This 253-nucleotide ribosomal RNA is filed under the name uncultured bacterium. RNAcentral's name for it is "partial 16S ribosomal RNA". It matches the Rfam family "Bacterial small subunit ribosomal RNA", at positions 524 to 776 of the family's 1533-position model. The record is from RNAcentral.